CGGAAAAAAAAAUGUCACACAACAACUUCAAGUGGUACAUGAAGAUAAACAAAUAUUUACACAUUCAAAGUGUGCAAUUAGCAUGUCUCUUAAUAAUACGCAAAAAAACCCUUUUUAAUGAAG
Molecule: long non-coding RNA, 123 nt
Organism: Erigeron canadensis
Lineage: Eukaryota; Viridiplantae; Streptophyta; Magnoliopsida; Asterales; Asteraceae
Exons: 3
Source: RefSeq, a predicted model, not a curated record